CAUGACCUGAGCCGAAGUCAGACACAACCAACUGAGCCACCCAGUGACCGCAAAAGAAAGAGAUCGAUUCAAAAUGGUUUCUUCUAAGACUUCCUCCUUGGACUUGACCACUGACAUAAUAUGUGCCUGUGUCUGAGCUCUCCACUCCAAGAAUGAAUGAGCCCCAACAGUUCAUGAAAUUGAAAGGAUUAUAAAGUGCUGUAUUGGAAAAGGAGCAAGAAAUCCGAGGAGCAUCUAUUAGCUGCAACAUGCCAAUAAAGAGGGAGCCGGCACUUUUCUGGCUCGGCCAGCGCCUGCAGCCUCGCGUGCCCACAGAGGUUCGUUAGCACACUGAACUCGCCUCAGUCUUGGAAACAAAUUGCAAGAGAGAGAGAUAAACCGUGAGAAAGUGACCCUUUUAUAGCAAGGUGGUAAAGGUAAAAGGAGAGAAGUAGCUUAGGUAGCUCAUGCUUUUCAAAUGAAUACAAAUUUUCAAUAGGAAGGAAGAUGCAGAUUAUAGUAGAUUCUUAAAAAUCAGGAGUGCAAACUUGUCAAAUCACUCAGUUGCACACCUGAAGCUAAUGUAACAUUGUGUGCUGACUAUACUCAAAUAAAAAAAAAAAUAGAAAAAAAACACAACACAAACUUUAAACACUUUGAUGCUUCUUUAAUUCACAUUUAUCCAAUGACUCUAGUAAAAAUACGAUUCCCAUGUUGAAACGAUAAUGGAGUUAGAAGUAAAACUCAUGACUCAUGUUUUGUGCAUUUACCUUAGUUCAUUAAACAUCAGUGAUUCUUUGGAUUGAACCAUUUUAUCCCUUCUGCUGCAAAUUCUUGAAGUGAAAAGAUUCUUGCAUUUCUUUUUUCUUUUUUUGUUGGGGGGGGGCAGAUACUACAUAGCCAUAGUAGAAAUAGUAAGAGACAAAAUUAAAAAAACUGCAAAUUCAAAUGCAUUAUUAUCUUUAAGGGAAAUUCCAAAGACAAAUUUCUCUUCAUUGUAUUCAGAUUUGUGCAUAAUUUCUUAUUAAAACGUAUUAAAAGAGA
Molecule: long non-coding RNA, 1023 nt
Organism: Leopardus geoffroyi (Geoffroy's cat)
Lineage: Eukaryota; Metazoa; Chordata; Mammalia; Carnivora; Felidae
Exons: 2
Source: RefSeq, a predicted model, not a curated record